This 497-nucleotide ribosomal RNA is filed under the name uncultured bacterium. RNAcentral describes it as "partial 16S ribosomal RNA". It matches the Rfam family "Bacterial small subunit ribosomal RNA", at positions 28 to 507 of the family's 1533-position model. The record is from RNAcentral.
GAUGAACGCUGGCGGCGUGCCUAAUACAUGCAAGUCGAGCGAACAGAUCAGGAGCUUGCUCCUCUGACGUUAGCGGCGGACGGGAGAGUAACACGUGGAUAACCUACCUAUAAGACUGGGAUAACUUCGGGAAACCGGAGCUAAUACCGGAUAAUAUAUUGAACCGCAUGGUUCACUAGUGAAAGUCGGUUUUUCUGUCACUUAUAGAUGGAUCCGCACCGCAUGAGCUAGUUGGUAAGGUAACGGCUUACCAAGGCAACGAUGCGUAGCCGACCUGAGAGGGUGGUUGGGCAGACUGGAACAGAGGCACGGUAGAGACUCUGGCGGGAGGAAGCAGUAGAGAAUCCUCCGCAAGGGGGGAGAGGGGGACGGAGCGACACCGCGUGAGUGAUGAAGGAGUUCGGAUCGGAGAACUCUGUUAGUAGGGAAAAACAAAUGUGUAAGUAGCUAUGCACGUCUUGACGGUACCUAAUCAGGAAGCCACGGCUAACUACGUG